UACGGGGGGAGCAAGCGUUGUUCGGAUUUACUGGGCGUAAAGGGCGCGUAGGCGGUGCGGUAAGUCACCUGUGAAAACUCUGGGCUCAACUCAGAGCCUGCAGGCGAAACUGCCGUGCUUGAGUGUGGGAGAGGUGCGUGGAAUUCCUGGUGUAGCGGUGAAAUGCGCAGAUAUCAGGAGGAACACCGAUGGCGAAGGCAGGUCUCUGGGCCACUACUGACACUAAUGGACGAAAGCUAGGGGAGCGAAUGGG
RNAcentral lists this ribosomal RNA (253 nucleotides) under uncultured bacterium. Its description in RNAcentral is "partial 16S ribosomal RNA". It matches the Rfam family "Bacterial small subunit ribosomal RNA", at positions 524 to 776 of the family's 1533-position model. The record is from RNAcentral.